RNAcentral lists this long non-coding RNA (249 nucleotides) under Oryza sativa (Asian cultivated rice). RNAcentral describes it as "long non-coding RNA (OSAT_LNC000854)". Lineage: Eukaryota; Viridiplantae; Streptophyta; Magnoliopsida; Poales; Poaceae. The record is from RNAcentral.
AUUCGAACCGAGAUGAUCGAUUGAUCGCCGUCCUUGCGCCGCACCAAGGGGGAUAAGAGCAGGGCAGGGUUCAGGUAAGAGGACGAGGCAGUCCGCACCGUGCCUCCCGGGCCGGUUCGCCGGCGGCGAGAGCGCGCGCGGAGGCGAGGCGAGGCGGCGCGGAGGAGAAGGGCUCGCCGUGUGCCACCGGCGAGGUAGAGAGAGAUGGGGGAGGAGUAGACGAGACGAGUAGUGCGAUGGAUAUCGUUU